UACGUAGGGCGCGAGCGUUGUCCGGAAUUAUUGGGCGUAAAGAGCUCGUAGGCGGCCUGUUGCGUCCGCUGUGAAAUCCCAGGGCUCAACCCUGGGCGUGCAGUGGAUACGGGCAGGCUGGAGGCAGGCAGGGGAGAACGGAAUUCCCGGUGUAGCGGUGAAAUGCGUAGAGAUCGGAAAGAACACCAACGGCGAAAGCACUCUGCUGGGCCGACACUGACACUGAGAGACGAAAGCUAGGGGAGCGAAUGGG
This 253-nucleotide ribosomal RNA is filed under the name uncultured bacterium. RNAcentral describes it as "partial 16S ribosomal RNA". It matches the Rfam family "Bacterial small subunit ribosomal RNA", at positions 524 to 776 of the family's 1533-position model. The record is from RNAcentral.